This 460-nucleotide ribosomal RNA is filed under the name uncultured bacterium. RNAcentral's name for it is "partial 16S ribosomal RNA". It matches the Rfam family "Bacterial small subunit ribosomal RNA", at positions 338 to 795 of the family's 1533-position model. The record is from RNAcentral.
CCUACGGGUGACAGCAGUGGGGAAUAUUGGUCAAUGGCCGUAAGGCUGACCCAGCCAAGUCGCGUGAAGGAAGAAGGACCUAUGGUUUUUAAACUUCUUCUAUAGGGGAAUAAAUGUAUCCACGUGUCGGUAUUUGCAUGUACCCUAUGAUUAUGCACCGGCUAACUCCGUUCCAUCAGCCGCGGCAAUACGGAGGGUGCGAGCGUUAUCCGGAUUUAAUGGGUUUAAAGGGAACGUAGGUUGUUUUUUAAGUCAGUGGUUAAAGUUUCUGGCUCAGCCAUACCAUGGCCUUUGAAACUAGAAGACUUGAGUGUGAGUGAGGUAGGCAGAAUGCGUGGUGUAGCGGUGAAAGGCAUAGAUAUCACGAAGAAUACCGAUUGCGAAGGCAGCUUACUAAGCCAUAACUGACACUGAAGCACGAAAGCGUGGGGAGCAAACAGGAUUAGAUACCCUGGUAGUC